CAUUAAGCUAUGAAGAAGAAGAGUACCUGUUUUUAGAUGCCCAGAGAGAAGAUGGCCGGUGAAAAUCUUCGUGAAGAAAACAGGGAAGCCGUUUCUGAGCUGUUAGCCGAAAAGACAUCUGUCCAGUAAGCUUUACCGGAGUUCCGGCCGUUAUAGCGGAAGCGGCAUUUUAUGCCGUCAGAGAGCAGAGUAACCUCUGAAUUUAGGUGGUAACACGGAUUUGCCAAUUCGCCCUAAGC
This 239-nucleotide non-coding RNA is filed under the name Desulfosporosinus youngiae. Its description in RNAcentral is "T-box sequence". It matches the Rfam family "T-box leader". Rfam says of the family: Uncharged tRNA acts as the effector for transcription antitermination of genes in the T-box leader family. T-boxes are found upstream of many aminoacyl-tRNA synthetase genes and some amino acid biosynthetic genes usually in Gram-positive bacteria. The record is from RNAcentral. Lineage: Bacteria; Bacillati; Bacillota; Clostridia; Eubacteriales; Desulfitobacteriaceae.